This 649-nucleotide long non-coding RNA is filed under the name Capra hircus (goat). RNAcentral's name for it is "lncRNA (ENSCHIG00000005710.1)". Lineage: Eukaryota; Metazoa; Chordata; Mammalia; Artiodactyla; Bovidae. The record is from RNAcentral.
CAAUAAAUAGGUAGUAAAAAUCAUUGUAUAGAUAGUGUAGCCGUGAUUCAAGCAUCCAGUACUUAGCCUUAAGCUGGUCAAGCAAAAACAAACACUUGCCACUAAAAAGGUGUGUCAAAAUGUAUUAAAUUGAUUACAUGUUUCAACUCCACAAGAAGAUAUAAGCUCAUUGUAAUAUUACUUGUUUAUCCACAUCCAACAAAUCCAAUAUCAAACUCGAAUAUCUUAGUCUCCUUAAAAAAAUGCUGUCCCCACACUUCCAGUCUCUAGUGUAACUCUUCCUCAGUCUUUCCCAUAAUAAUGCAUCAUAAUUACACAAAGAUCUACUUGGAAUUUCAGAAUGCUCCUCAUUGUUUGGGGAAAAGGAAGAAACUUAGCAGGCAGAGUACCAAAGGACAGAGAAUACAGUGGGAGAACAAAGAAGUAUGUUGGACAGUGAGUUCUGUCAAUGGAUUACUGAAAGCAAUUUUGCAACAUAGGGAUCAAAGACUGCAAAUUGUUUCUGCUUUAUUAAUAUUUGGUGAAUUAAACACUGAGGGAAAUGAAUUGGAGAAUAUUAAAAAAGCCAUGAAUCUAAAUUUUGUAUUCUAAUUAGGUGGAAUUUAUCCUUUUGGCAAAGAAUACGACUUAUCUGCUGUUUGGACUGACU